AUGAGAAGGAGAAGAAACCGCGAGAUAAUUUUUGUCAUCUGUGAUCUUAUUUUAUUCCACGAGGCUGGAGAUGAUGAUGGGUUUGAUCGUCUUAUCGGCUGCUGCUGGUCUCUUUUAUGCAGCUUAUUUGAUUAUUUUGGAUCAGAGUUAUCCUCAGUAAUCAGCUGGAAUCCUAGACAGUGUUUCUGUCCUUCAGAGAGAGACAGAACUGAACGAAGCGCUUUGGAGGAGUUACAUUAAGUGUGACUCACGACUCUUCGAGUGCUUUCAAGCGUUUCUAAAGCGAGUUCUGCACACGUUGGACGACACGGGGAAGUUUUCCAGGCGUUUCCAUAGAAACCAAAGUUUUCCUGCUGGCUCUCCAUCAGUCCGUGAGUCACGGCGCUCCAGUGGAGUCGUGUGUGUUUCCAGUCACACUGCUUUGGGAUUUUAUUGAUUCAUAUCGACUCUGAUUACAGGAACAAAUGAGCAGUGACUCUGGUCCGUCUCUCUGUCCGCUGCUCACUCCUUCGCUCAGGAAUACUGCAGGAAGAGUGGAGCCUGACGCUCGUCUGACGGAUCACAUGAUGUUUGCAUGUAUUUGUGUGGAGGCAGAUAUUACUGUAGAUGAAGAACAAACAAUGUUUUACUUGCGUGUUUCCAUUUGAAAAGGAAACAAUACCACACUUUGUUUGCCAAAAAAAUAAAAAGGGAUUGUCAUUUAUUUUAUGAUUUUUUUUUUUUUAAUUAAAAAAUCCAGAAAAAAAUUAAAACACAGAAAAAUUAAACUAUUAGUUGAAUAGACAUGCUUUUUGAUUAUUCAAAUUUAAUUAAAAUAUUAAGAUGGAAAUCAGAAAAAUUAAAAUGGAAAACAGAAUGUGGGGAAAAUUUUCAACUUUUAAUAUUUGUAUACGAUUCGUGACUUCAUUUAUUUAGACAUGAUUUUUGAUUACUAAAAUUGAAUUAAACUAUUACAACAGAAUCCACAAAAAUCUAAAAAUAAAAACAUGGACUUUGGGGGGAAAUUAAACAAAAUGUUUUUUUUAUAUAUACUUUUGUUAACUUUUUAUAAAUUGAUGUUCAG
Molecule: long non-coding RNA, 1063 nt
Organism: Cyprinus carpio carpio
Lineage: Eukaryota; Metazoa; Chordata; Actinopteri; Cypriniformes; Cyprinidae
Source: Ensembl